RNAcentral lists this ribosomal RNA (480 nucleotides) under Staphylococcus aureus. RNAcentral's name for it is "bacterial SSU rRNA". It matches the Rfam family "Bacterial small subunit ribosomal RNA", at positions 1 to 478 of the family's 1533-position model. Lineage: Bacteria; Bacillati; Bacillota; Bacilli; Caryophanales; Staphylococcaceae. The record is from RNAcentral.
UUUAUGGAGAGUUUGAUCCUGGCUCAGGAUGAACGCUGGCGGCGUGCCUAAUACAUGCAAGUCGAGCGAACGGACGAGAAGCUUGCUUCUCUGAUGUUAGCGGCGGACGGGUGAGUAACACGUGGAUAACCUACCUAUAAGACUGGGAUAACUUCGGGAAACCGGAGCUAAUACCGGAUAAUAUUUUGAACCGCAUGGUUCAAAAGUGAAAGACGGUCUUGCUGUAACUUAUAGAUGGAUCCGCGCUGCAUUAGCUAGUUGGUAAGGUAACGGCUUACCAAGGCAACGAUGCAUAGCCGACCUGAGAGGGUGAUCGGCCACACUGGAACUGAGACACGGUCCAGACUCCUACGGGAGGCAGCAGUAGGGAAUCUUCCGCAAUGGGCGAAAGCCUGACGGAGCAACGCCGCGUGAGUGAUGAAGGUCUUCGGAUCGUAAAACUCUGUUAUUAGGGAAGAACAUAUGUGUAAGUAACUGUGC